Molecule: ribosomal RNA, 292 nt
Filed under: uncultured bacterium
Lineage: Bacteria
Description: partial 16S ribosomal RNA
Rfam family: Bacterial small subunit ribosomal RNA
Source: RNAcentral
GUGUCAGCAGCCGCGGUAAUACAGAGACUGCAAGCGUUAUUCGGAUUCACUGGGCGUAAAGGGUGCGCAGGCGGUUGCGUGUGUUGGAUGUGAAAGCCCGGGGCUCAACCCCGGAAUUGCGUCCAAAACUACGCGACUAGAGUACCGGAGAGGAUAGCGGAAUUCACGGUGUAGCAGUGAAAUGCGUAGAUAUCGUGAAGAACACCAGCGGCGAAGGCGGCUAUCUGGAAGGUAACUGACGCUCAGGCACGAAAGCGUGGGGAGCAAAAGGGAUUAGAAACCCCCGUAGUCC